Molecule: long non-coding RNA, 2099 nt
Organism: Amphiprion ocellaris (clown anemonefish)
Lineage: Eukaryota; Metazoa; Chordata; Actinopteri; Pomacentridae
Source: Ensembl
GGUUCCUGCUGGUUUCACAUUUAUUUUAAUAAUCAGAUGGAGCUUCAAUGUUUCAUUAAAUGUGAUUAUUAUUAUAUUUUACUGUAGAUAGAAGCUGAUUCUGAGUCAGCCAGGGGGAAGGACUGACAGAAAGAGAAUAAAAUCCAGGAUUUAUUACAGGAAUCUUUCACUGCUUCCUCUACUAGUAGUUUAAUGUGUUUCAACCUCUGGUUCCCAACCUUCAGGGGUCGCUGGGUCAGUCUGACGGGUCACCAGGUGAAGAACAAGUCUUUAGUUCAUAUAAACUGCCAGUGGUUCCAGGUGGGUCCAGGGGUCCAGCUUCAGGGCACCUUGACCCGGGUGGAGCUCCAGUAGACGGGCUGAGGGACCAACACCUGGACGUGACACGUUGGACAUGACUGUUUCCUCCACAGCCACUCCUCGAUGCACUGCAGAGACACAUCACAGUCAGGUACACCUCCAUGACACACCUGGACACCUUUAAAGGCACAUUUACCUGCACAAAGUCACCUCACACCUGAAGAGGAUCAGGUAGAGCAAACAGAGGCUCCCUGAGGGCUCAGGUGUGAUCAUCGGGUGAUCUGGCCAUGGUCUGACCUGUGUGUGUCAGGUUUAUUACCUGAGUUUAUCAGGUGUGUUACCUGUGUGUCAGGUGUGUUAGCUCUUUGUGGAAGGUGUGUUAGCUCUUUGUGGAAGGUGUGUUAGCUCUUUGUGGAAGGUGUGUUACCUCUUUGUGGAAGGUGUGUUACCUCUUUGUGGAAGGUGUGUUACCUGUGUUUCUCAGGUGUGUUAGGUGUGUUACCUCUUUGUGGAAGGUGUGUUACCUGUGUUUCUCAGGUGUGUUAGGUGUGUUACCUCUUUGUGGAAGGUGUGUGUACACUGCAGCUCUCUGGUGCCGCCGCUGCCUUGCUGUAAGUCGUUGUGACAGAUCAGACAAACGCUGUAGGCGUCGCUCUGCAACACAAACAGGGUUUCUGGUCACAACGCGUCCUGUUGGAUUAAAAUCAUCGUGUCUUUAAACCCACCAGAGACAUGACGUUUCGUCUCCUGAACUGGCUCCGCCUCACGGAGGGCGUGGCCUCUGGGAUUGUGGGUAUGAGGGAGGGUCUUCGCUCAGCGGUGGGGGCGGUGGCUUCCUGUGGGGAUGGAAGGAGGCGGCGGGAGGAUGAACGAUGCAGCAACACCUUCGCCGUUAACGGAGCCCGAGUGGACGAGUGCAGACGAGACAGCUGCAUGGCAGAGAGCGUCGACUGGAAACACAAUCAAGAUUCAUUUAGCUUUUAGACACAUCAGAGGAAUUUACAGGUGAAUCACCAACACAUGAUGGUAAAUAUCAUAAAUAAAAGACCAAAUAUAACAACAGAUUUCAAACAGCAAGACUCAGUAAAACCUGCAGUUUACAAAUACAGUGAGUACAGAUCUGUGAAGGAUUGUGACUUCAAUGAAACUGCAUUAUUCAUGUAGAACAGCAGAAUAUUUCCUCUGAUGAUCAGAAACUCACUCUUUACAAAGACUGUAUUUACAAUUCAGAACCCAAGGUAGAACCUCAGAGAACCAAAGAGUACAGCUGUGAUCCCAAACAGUCUGACUGAUGAACAUGGUUCUAAAUGAGCUGAGAACAGCAGAACCUUCUCAGUCCUGGACCUAUGGACUGGGUCUAUCUAUGUCUGCAUCAUGGCUUCACAUGGAAAAGAACUGAACAGAGGAAGAGAAACAUCUGACUGAGAGACUCGACAAAGAUGGAAAAAGAUCCAGGAAGAUCAGUGAGACACUAAAAACCAGUGAAGCACAGAGUCAGCAGUAAUCAGGAGGUCUAGGAGGAGUCAUAGUACCACUAAUCAGGAGGUCUAGAAGGAGUCAUAGUACCACUAAUCAGGAGGUCUAGAAGGAAUCUUAGUACCACUAAUCAGGAGGUCUAGAAGGAGUCUUAGUACCACUAAUCAGGAGGUCUAGAAGGACUCGUAGAACCACUAAUCAGGAGAUCUAGAAGGAGUCAUAGUACCACUAAUCAGGAGGUCUAGAAGGAGUCAUAGAACCACUAAUCAGGAGUUCUAGAAGGAGUCAUAGUACCACUAAUCAGGAGGUAUAGAAGGAGUCAU